RNAcentral lists this transfer RNA (70 nucleotides) under Marmota monax (woodchuck). Its description in RNAcentral is "tRNA.Ser". The record is from RNAcentral. Lineage: Eukaryota; Metazoa; Chordata; Mammalia; Rodentia; Sciuridae.
GGGUGUGGCUCAAGUGGUAGCGUGCUCGCCUGGAAUGUGCAAGGCACGGAGUUCGAUCCUCAGCACCACA